UGGGAUUUGAGAAUCUUGUUUUCAGUGUUUUUGAGUUUAUCUGUGGACUUACGGAAACACCAAAAUGCAAGAAAACUGUCAAGAAGUUUUUAGAUGAACUUAUUUAUUUCCUAGUGUUGUACAUGCAAAUCACAGAAGAGCAGGCAAGUGUGGACAUCCAAUCCAAAUCAAUUUGCUGAAGAUGAGGAUGAUGACACCUUUUCGUUUUCUGUUCGCAUUGCAGUUCAAGAUGUUCUCUUGUAUUGCCUUUCAUCAAUGGUCAAGCGUCAUGGGUGGCAAGUCAUCUUACCCCUUAUUGUAGUGCUACAAGCAGUUUAUCUUUGAGCUCUUACCUUGUUAACAUUUCUCAUGUUCAGCUUCAUCAAAGCAUUCAUCAC
This is a long non-coding RNA of Pocillopora damicornis (cauliflower coral), 377 nucleotides long. Lineage: Eukaryota; Metazoa; Cnidaria; Anthozoa; Scleractinia; Pocilloporidae. The record is from RefSeq and is a predicted model, not a curated record.